GCCGGUGUAGCUCAACGGUAGAGCGUCUGUUUCGUAAUCAGUGCGUUGCGGGUUCGACUCCUGCCACCGGCU
RNAcentral lists this transfer RNA (72 nucleotides) under Myxococcales bacterium. Its description in RNAcentral is "tRNA-Thr". It matches the Rfam family "tRNA". Rfam says of the family: Transfer RNA (tRNA) molecules are approximately 80 nucleotides in length. Their secondary structure includes four short double-helical elements and three loops (D, anti-codon, and T loops). Lineage: Bacteria; Pseudomonadati; Myxococcota; Myxococcia; Myxococcales. The record is from RNAcentral.